GACGAACGCUGGCGGCGUGCCUAAUACAUGCAAGUCGAACGAACCGCGACUAGGUGCUUGCACUUGGUCAAGGUGAGUGGCGAACGGGUGAGUAACACGUGGGUAACCUACCUCAUUGUGGGGCGUAACAGUCGGAAACUACUGCUAAUACCGCGUAGGACAUAGGAUCACAUGAUCCAGCUAGGAAAGGUGGGGCAAGCUAUCGCCAGGAGAUGGACCCGCGGGGGAUUAGCUAGUUGGUAGGGUAAAGGCCUACCAAGGCGACGAUGCAUAGCCGACCUGAGAGGGUGAUCAGCCACACUGGGACUGAGACACGGCCCAAACUCCUACGGGAGGCAGCAGUAGGGAAUCUUCCGCAAUGGACGAAAGUCUGACGGAGCAACGCCGCGUGAGUGAAGAAGGUCUUCGGAUCGUAAAGCUCUGUUGUUAGAGAAGAACAGCGGAUAGAGUAACUGUUAUGCGUGUGACGGUACCUAAACAGAAAGCCACGGCUAACUACGUG
This 502-nucleotide ribosomal RNA is filed under the name uncultured bacterium. Its description in RNAcentral is "partial 16S ribosomal RNA". It matches the Rfam family "Bacterial small subunit ribosomal RNA", at positions 28 to 507 of the family's 1533-position model. The record is from RNAcentral.